Molecule: long non-coding RNA, 4970 nt
Filed under: Sus scrofa (pig)
Lineage: Eukaryota; Metazoa; Chordata; Mammalia; Artiodactyla; Suidae
Description: lncRNA (ENSSSCG00015032256.1)
Source: RNAcentral
GGGUUAGUUGUUAAGCAGGUUUUAAGCACUCCCUAUAUUUGCAAAAUCAUGUCGUGGGGCAAAGUUCAGCCAUCCCAGUGAUCUUGAUGACCAAAGUGUCCUAUGUGUUUAUAAUAUAAUGCAAAUGACUUCAAUCUUAGGUAGCCACAUUUCCAAAUACCAUUUAGAGCUUUAAUGACUUGUCCUAGAAAGGUCCUGUCAAACCUUUUCAAACCUAUUUAAUGGAUCUUCUAAACAAUGUAAAAAAGCUUUCUCUAAAUGUUUAUACAGCUUAUAAUUUCAGUGUAAAAAUCAUUGUCCUCUGUCCCCACUACUGCUCUCUUCACCAAAUGCAAAUUUUGAAGCUUCUUUGUUGAAAAUGUUACAAUGUCACCUUCCUCUCUCAGAAUCUGAUUUUCUGCACUGUGGUCUUAAGAUUCAACAUGCAAAGUUGGGGUUCUGACAAUUAGAAAAUUUCCAUAGAGUUUGAAGAUAAUACUCAGAAUCCUGGAAGGCACACUCAAUUUUCAACAGGAAAUUAGGAAACAGAGAUUUUAGUGUCUGUUUUUCCAGGGUAAACUAUAUAACCUUGAGUUCAUUAUACCUUCUAUGAGCCCUGAUUUGCUCGUCUCUAAAAUGAAUGUCACACACUGCCUCUUCUGUCUUUUAAUGUUGUUCCAUGACACCAUUUAAGCCUGCUAAUGAAUUACUUAAAUAUCGAAGUCCACAUUAAGCCUUAUGGAAAAGCAUAACUGGCAAGAUUUUCCUCUCAAUUACUUGUGCUAAUAGGGGCCAAAAUGGCAUGGAUACUUCACAGAUAAUCCCCAAACUUCAAUUUAGCUAAGUGUUCCAACCUCCACUUCUGCCAAACCAUUUACAGGGGAUUCAAACAAUUAGCACACACUGGCAUGAGAAUUUUCUCUUUAUAAUUCCUGCCUGCCUUACUGCUUAUGACUAGAAUAUUUCAAUAUCUAAAUUUCUAAAAAUAGAAAUAAAGACUAAAUCAAGUAUAGCUGUUGCAUAAUCUUCCAAUUGGUUUUGUUGCAAGAAUAUUCCAAAACUGUUGUAUUAAUAAUAAUUUAUUAAGAGCUUAUUUUACAGCAGUGUCCUUUACAAGUCAUUUAAAUCGACAAUCACCUUAUUAGGUAGUGUGUUGGUUUCCAGGGCUGCCAUAACCAAGUACCACAAACAGUGACUUUACCAACAAAGAUUUAUUGUCUCACAGUUCUGGAGUCUAGAUGUCUGAAAUCGAGGUGUCCAGCAGGAUGGUUCUUUCUGAGGACUAUGGUGGAAACUUAAUUUCAUGCCUCUUUCUUGGCUUCAGAUUUUUUUCCCUUUCUUUUUGAAAUUGUUGGCACCACUUGACUUGUAGAUAUGUUAUUCCAAUCUCUGCCUUCAUCCUCACAUGGUGUUCUUUGUGUCUUUUUACAUGGUGCUGUUUUCAUGAGGACAUCAGUCAUGUUGGACUGGUGGGGGGAGUCUAUCCUAAUUCAAUAUGACUUUAUUUUGGCUUGGUUAUUUCUGUAAAAGACCCUGUUUCCAAAUAUGGUUACAUUCUGAGAUACUGGCGAUUAAUACUUAAAAUAUAUCCUUUGAGACGGAGGCACAAUUCACUUCAUUAGAGGUAGGUGAUAUCCCCAUUUUAUACAUGGGUUAACUAAGGUUACAAUAUUGAAUUAAAAUUCCUAAGGUCACAAAUCCAGUCAGUGGCAGAGCUGGGAUUCACAUGCACAUUUUGAUGACCUCAUUCAUUAUUUAGCAAAUAAUCUCAGUACUCAAAAAGAAAAUAAGAUAUAUAUGUCUCCCAGGACUAAGAGUAUUGAUCAUAUACUUUCUGGUAGCUUCACUAAUAUAGAAGAUUCAGCAACACUGACCAACAUCAAGGUUUCACUGAUGGUACCUGAGCUAAAUUUGUGUUUGUCAGAACUUAGUUCUCCAUUAAUUCUCCAAACCUGAGCAAGGAUGGGGGGGAAAAAAAAAAAAAGGAAAGGCCUGGACCUCCAGUCAUCUUGAACUAACUCUCUCUAUAUAAUAACCCUGCAGAGUCUAAUAAUAGACUGUCCAUGUAAAAAGAUUUUUAAAUGUUCAUUAUCUACUUAAUGGGGAACUGAUAAACAGCAAUUAGGAGAAUUUUUCUGUUUUAUUGCGUAUGUGGUUUUAUAUUCAAGACGGUGUCAGAAAAUGAAGAGAAAACCUUCCACAGUCAUAUAGGGGGUUGCACUGGAAGGUCAAAGUUAACGAGCAUCAGAUCUCUGAUUCUUUUUCCCAGUUAUGUUCUAAUGUUUUUAAAUGAUUGGCAUUUAGAAACUAACUGGCUGCCCAUUAAUCUGGCUCUGCCCUGAGCACCUCUAUUUAAUACCCUCUUUAGAAAUGAUUAAGACAAGCAGAACCUUGGGCCUUUGAAAGAAGCAGAUGGGCUUCAGGAUGGGGAGAGAGUACUUAAAUUGAUAAACUGGGGUAAACUGGAAUAUUUCCAUUAGGCCCUUGAAUCCCUGGAAUACUCAGUUUCCUCCAAUAAAUAACCCCUAUUAUACCAAUAGUUUGGUAAAAUAAAACCUCAUCACAAGCUUUCCUGACAGUGGUUAGAAAUGUCAUUCUUUCAGAGUUCCCACUGUGGCUCAGUGGAAACAAACCUGAGUGGUAUCUAUGAGGACUCAGGGUUGAUCCCUGGCCUCACUCAGUGGGUUAAUGGUUCAGCAUUGCCAUGAGCUGUGGUUUAGGUCAUGGCUUUGAUCUGGCAUGCCUCUGGCUGUGGUGUAGGCCGGAUGUGUAGCUCCAAUUUGACCCUAGCCUCGGAAAAAGAAGAAAAUGUCAACUCUUUCAAGAUUCCUGAUAUUAUAAUAAAUAGGGGAUUACUUUCAUUAAUAAACAUAAUUUUUCAAAAAAAUACAAGUCUCUGGGAAGUUACAGGACAUUAGCCAUUUACAACGUAAUGGAAUCCAUUAUGCUCCUUCUGCUUUAAAGAGCACUCGUUGUAGCUGGUUACAGUGAAAAAGUGGAAAUCUUGAUGUAGGUCUGGGUCAAAAAAAAGGAGUAAGUAGUUUAGUGCUCAGUGAAGAGAAUUUAUGAUAGAGGUGUCUUGGUUUGUGUGUGUGUAAGCCAGGAGGGUCUAUAUUCCUUAUGCUAGUGCUAUAGACCAGAAGUUUAAUCUAUUUAUUUACAGCCGUAUUUUGAUUUGCUUUAUUAUUGAAGAAAAAAUAGAUUAUUUCCCCUGAGUGCCAUAACAUUACUUUGUUUAUGAGCAUUUCAAUAAUAGAUACUUGGAGUAUACAAUUGUUAGAAUAAAUUUAAAUAACUAAAUAAUUAUCACCUUUGAUUACACUUAAGAUAUGCAUUGGGGACAUGAAUAAAGGAGUUGAUAUAAUAGCAAAACCUCUGCAAUUUGUAUUAGUAAUUGUUGGUAAACCAGGGAGGUAAUAGUACAUAAAACAGAUUUAUGUUAAUUACACAAAAGUUAAUUUUUCCACAGUUGUUAUCAUUUAAAAUACAUAUUUUCAAAAUUCCAAAAGUAUUUCUUAUGAAGUAGUUUCACAAAUACACAUCAAACAACAUGUGAACAUCCUUUGUUUAGGUACUAAGAAUAUGUUGCUAAUUAUUUGAAGUGAAUUUAGCUGACUUCAACUUUAAACUGAAUCCAAUUUUUUUUUUUUUUAAUGGAUGAAAGGGAAUAGAAGCAGGAAGGUUUCCUAAGUUAGAGCUGUCCUGAUUAACUAUACCCCUAUUUCUGCCUAUGAAGUUUCCAAAUGAUCUGCUAGAGUUUUAAUAAAAAUUUCUUCCUAAGGCUUUCCAUCCUUAAAAAAAAAUUAGAAUACACAAAAUAAGUUAUUAUUAAAAAGGCAUACGUCCUUUACUAUUAAUAAAAAGGCAUACUUCCUUCAUUGACCCUGGGGUAUAUAUACUCUGUGUAUUCUAUACAAAAUAAUGUCUUGUUAUGGAGUCUUAAAAGGAAUUAAAACUGUUAAACAAUGAUUGAUCCUGACAAUAAUAAAUAUCUCAUGAUAAAAUGCUAUCCAGUGUUUUAUUAUAUUCAUCGCUAUUAGGGUUUUAGGGGAUCAAUAAAUAAUACCCUGUUGUUCCCUUCCUGAGCUUAGAAUCAAUUCAGAAUUAAGGCCCAGGAGACAGUGAAGUAGAGGUCAAAUGGCCAAUUUUAUAAAGAUGAUUGGAAAAUGUAGUUUUAAAAGUAUAGGUAGAUAGACUUAAUACCCCAUCACUGAGUUAAGCAGCAGACUUUCCAACUUAGUUAUUGGCACAGCUGAAUACCUGACCUUGCUGAUAGGACUGAAUUGUCCCCUCUAGCUUAUCACAGAGGAUCAAAGAAAUCAAAGGGUUCCCAUUGUGGCUCACUGGGUUAAGAACCAGAGAUAGUGCAUUCUUAAGAGAAUGCAGGCUCCAUUCCUGCCCUCCCUCAGCGGGUUAGGGAUCCAGGGUUGCCUCAAACUAUGGCUUGGAUUUGGCAUUGCUGUGGCUGUCGUAUAGGCCAGCUGCAGCUCCAAGUCAACCCCUAGCCCGGGAAUUAACAUAUGCUGCUGGUGCAGCUAAAAAAAAUUUAGAUGUGAGGAUCAACAGGCAUUGAACAAAGCCAUAGCCAUUUGCAGUAACAUGGAUGGAACUAGAGACUGUACUGAGUGAAUUAAGUCAGAAAGAGAAAGACAAAUACCAUAUGAUAUCACUCAUAUCUGGUAUCUAAUAUACAGCACAAAUGAACCUUUCCAUAGAAUAGAAAAUCAUGGACUUGGAGAAUAGACUUGUGGUUGCCCUGGGGGAGGGGGAGGGGGUAGAAGGGAUUGGGAGCUUGGGGUUAAUGGACACAAACUAUUGCUUUUGGAAUGGACAAACAAUGAGAUCCUGCUAUGUAGCACUGAGAAAUAUGUCUAGAUACAAUGCAGCAUGACAAUGGGAGAAAAAAUUAUGUAUGCAUGAAUGUGUAACUGGGUCCCCAUGCUGUACAGAGGAAAAAAAAAAGUGUGUUGGGAGAAAUAACAAUAAAAAAA